Acanthosepion pharaonis is the source of this 114-nucleotide non-coding RNA. The record is from the annotation of a GenBank genome assembly. Lineage: Eukaryota; Metazoa; Mollusca; Cephalopoda; Sepiida; Sepiidae.
UUACGGCCAUAUCACACUGAAACACCAGUUUUCAUAUGAUCAACAAAGUUAAGUAAGGCUGAGCCUGGUCAGUAUCUAAAUGGGUGACUGCUUGGGAAUACCAGAUGUUGUAAG